Molecule: ribosomal RNA, 338 nt
Filed under: Campylaspis horrida
Lineage: Eukaryota; Metazoa; Arthropoda; Malacostraca; Cumacea; Nannastacidae
Description: partial 16S ribosomal RNA
Source: RNAcentral
UGAGAAUAAUAAAGGGCUAUAGUACUCUGASUAUACUAAGGUAGCRUAGUAGUUUGCUUUUUAAUUUAAGGCUUGUAUAAACGGUUGAAUGGCAAGGCAACUGUUCUUAAAAUAAAACGAAAUUAGGCUCUAAGUUAAAACUCUUAGUCAAAACUCAGGGACGAUAAGACCCCGUAAAAUUUAACUAUCUAAAACAACCAAGGUAGGUAAAAAAAAUAAGAGUUUAGCUGGGACGGCGGAUUUAAAGAAGAACGAAUCUAAAUUAAUAUAAACGAAGAAGCGGACAGCAGGACCCUUUAACGGAGGGCAGGAGUAAAUUACUUUAGGGRUAACAGCGU